Molecule: non-coding RNA, 94 nt
Filed under: Pantoea wallisii
Lineage: Bacteria; Pseudomonadati; Pseudomonadota; Gammaproteobacteria; Enterobacterales; Erwiniaceae
Description: TPP sequence
Rfam family: TPP riboswitch aptamer (THI element)
About the family: Vitamin B(1) in its active form thiamin pyrophosphate (TPP) is an essential coenzyme that is synthesised by coupling of pyrimidine and thiazole moieties in bacteria.
Source: RNAcentral
CCGUUCUCAACGGGGUGCCGGUUAACUGGCUGAGAGAGACCCGUCGAACCUGAUCCGGCUGAUACCGGCGUAGGGAUUUGAGAUGCCUGCUGCU